GCGGCGGCGGCGGCGGACGGCCCAGCCGGAGCGCGAGGGGCUCGGGGGGGGCGCGGCGGUUCGGGUCGCAGAGCCAGGGACCCCAGGACCCGGGAGGCGGCGCAGCCGGGGCCGCCGGAGGAGCGCGGGUCACCCGGCGGCGGCGAGAUGCCGCUCGCCCAGCUCAAGGAGCCCUGGCCGCUCAUGGAGCUAGUGCCGCUGGACCCGGAGAAUGGACAGACCUCAGGGGAAGAAGCUGGACUUCAGCCGUCCAAGGAUGAGGGCGUCCUCAAGGAGAUCUCCAUCACGCACCACGUCAAGGCUGGCUCUGAGAAGGCUGAUCCAUCCCAUUUCGAGCUCCUCAAGGUUCUGGGCCAGGGAUCCUUUGGCAAAGUCUUCCUGGUGCGGAAAGUCACCCGGCCUGACAGUGGGCACCUGUAUGCUAUGAAGGUGCUGAAGAAGGCAACGCUGAAAGUACGUGACCGCGUCCGGACCAAGAUGGAGAGAGACAUCCUGGCUGAUGUAAAUCACCCAUUCGUGGUGAAGCUGCACUAUGGUAAAGCUUCUGGCCCUGCCUGAGCU
Molecule: small RNA, 561 nt
Filed under: Pan troglodytes (chimpanzee)
Lineage: Eukaryota; Metazoa; Chordata; Mammalia; Primates; Hominidae
Description: retained intron
Source: RNAcentral